CUACGGGUUGCAGCAGUGGGGAAUUUUGCGCAAUGGGCGAAAGCCUGACGCAGCAACGCCGCGUGAGGGAUGAAGGCCUUCGGGUUGUAAACCUCUUUCGGGUGGGAAGAAAAAAAUGACGGUACCACCAGAAGAAGCCCCGGCUAACUCCGUGCCAGCAGCCGCGGUAAUACGGAGGGGGCAAGCGUUGUUCGGAAUUAUUGGGCGUAAAGCGUAUGUAGGCGGUCUGGCAAGUCAGACGUGUAAGCCCACGGCUCAACCGUGGAAUUGCGUUUGAAACUAUCAGGCUUGAGUUCGGAAGAGGAAAGCGGAAUUCCCAGUGUAGCGGUGAAAUGCAUUGAUAUUGGGAAGAACAUCGGUGGCGAAGGCGGCUUUCUGGUCCGAUACUGACGCUGAGAUACGGAAGCCAGGGGAGCAAACGGGAUUAGAUACCCGGGUAGUC
Molecule: ribosomal RNA, 442 nt
Filed under: uncultured bacterium
Lineage: Bacteria
Description: partial 16S ribosomal RNA
Rfam family: Bacterial small subunit ribosomal RNA
Source: RNAcentral